AUGAACGCUAGCGGCAGGCUUAAUACAUGCAAGUCGAACGGGAUUUAAGAUAGCAAUAUUUUGAUGAGAGUGGCGCACGGGUGCGUAACACGUAUGCAACCUACCUUUAACUGGUGAAUAGCCCCGGGAAAUCGGGAUUAAUACACCAUAACAUUACGGAAUGGCAUCAUUCUGCAAUUAAAGAUAUUCGGUUAGAGAUGGGCAUGCGGGACAUUAGCUGGUUGGUGAGGUAACGGCUCACCAAGGCAACGAUGUCUAGGGGUCCUGAGAGGGUUUUCCCCCACACUGGUACUGAGACACGGACCAGACUCCUACGGGAGGCAGCAGUAAGGAAUAUUGGUCAAUGGGCGCAAGCCUGAACCAGCCAUGCCGCGUGCAGGAAGACGGCCCUAUGGGUUGUAAACUGCUUUUGUCAGGGAAUAAAUGUAGGUACGUGUACUUACUUGAAGGUACCUGAAGAAUAAGCAUCGGCUAACUCCGU
RNAcentral lists this ribosomal RNA (481 nucleotides) under uncultured bacterium. RNAcentral describes it as "bacterial SSU rRNA". It matches the Rfam family "Bacterial small subunit ribosomal RNA", at positions 29 to 506 of the family's 1533-position model. The record is from RNAcentral.